AACGAACGCUGGCGGCAUGCCUAACACAUGCAAGUUGAGCGAGAAUCAGAGGGCUUGCUCUCUGAGGACAGCAGCGCACGGGUGAGUAACGCGUGGAUAACGUACCCUAGGGUUGAGGAUAACCCACCGAAAGGUGGACUAAUACUGAAUGUGUUCCGAGAAGGUCAGCCUUCUUUGAAGAAAGUGGGGCAACCCACGCCCAAGGAUCGGUCCGCGUUCCAUCAGCUAGUUGGUAGGGUAAAGGCCUACCAAGGCUACGACGGAUAGCUGGUCUGAGAGGAUGAUCAGCCACACUGGGACUGAGACACGGCCCAGACUCCUACGGGAGGCAGCAGUGGGGAAUAUUGGUCAAUGGGCGAAAGCCUGAACCAGCAAUGCCGCGUGAGUGAUGAAGGCC
RNAcentral lists this ribosomal RNA (397 nucleotides) under uncultured bacterium. RNAcentral describes it as "bacterial SSU rRNA". It matches the Rfam family "Bacterial small subunit ribosomal RNA", at positions 29 to 416 of the family's 1533-position model. The record is from RNAcentral.